CUACGAAGAGGGUACGCCUCCCCCGGAGAGAGUACACCUCCCCCGGACAGAGUACACCUCCCCUGACAGGGUACGCCUGCAGGUGAUGUGGUGUCUGACGACCACCGUGAGGAAUGCAUCCCUUGACACCUACGAAGAGGGUACGCCUCCCCCGGACAGGGUACACCUCCCCCGGAUAGAGUACACCUCCCCAGGACAGGGUACACCUCCCUCUGAC
This 217-nucleotide long non-coding RNA is filed under the name Daucus carota (carrot). RNAcentral's name for it is "long non-coding RNA (DCAR_LNC004052)". The record is from RNAcentral. Lineage: Eukaryota; Viridiplantae; Streptophyta; Magnoliopsida; Apiales; Apiaceae.